UACAGAGGGUGCAAACGUUGCUCGGAAUUAUUGGGCGUAAAGCGCGUGUAGGCGGCCUGCUAAGUCGGCUGUGAAAGCCCAUGGCUCAACCAUGGAAGUGCAGCCGAAACUGACAGGCUUGAGUCCUGGAGAGGGUGGCGGAAUGCCCAGUGUAGAGGUGAAAUUCGUAGAUAUUGGGUAGAACACCGGUGGCGAAGGCGGCCACCUGGACAGCGACUGACGCUAAGACGCGAAAGCGUGGGGAGCGAACAGG
This 253-nucleotide ribosomal RNA is filed under the name uncultured bacterium. Its description in RNAcentral is "partial 16S ribosomal RNA". It matches the Rfam family "Bacterial small subunit ribosomal RNA", at positions 524 to 776 of the family's 1533-position model. The record is from RNAcentral.